UUAAGCGACUAAGCGUACACGGUGGAUGCCCUGGCAGUCAGAGGCGAUGAAGGACGUGCUAAUCUGCGAUAAGCGUCGGUAAGGUGAUAUGAACCGUUAUAACCGGCGAUUUCCGAAUGGGGAAACCCAGUGUGAUUCGUCACACUAUCAUUAACUGAAUCCAUAGGUUAAUGAGGCGAACCGGGGGAACUGAAACAUCUAAGUACCCCGAGGAAAAGAAAUCAACCGAGAUUCCCCCAGUAGCGGCGAGCGAACGGGGAGCAGCCCAGAGCCUGAAUCAGUGUGUGUGUUAGUGGAAGCGUCUGGAAAGGCGUGCGAUACAGGGUGACAGCCCCGUACACAAAAAUGCACAUGCUGUGAGCUCGAUGAGUAGGGCGGGACACGUGGUAUCCUGUCUGAAUAUGGGGGGACCAUCCUCCAAGGCUAAAUACUCCUGACUGACCGAUAGUGAACCAGUACCGUGAGGGAAAGGCGAAAAGAACCCCGGCGAGGGGAGUGAAAAAGAACCUGAAACCGUGUACGUACAAGCAGUGGGAGCACAGAGCAAUCUGUGUGACUGCGUACCUUUUGUAUAAUGGGUCAGCGACUUAUAUUCUGUAGCAAGGUUAACCGAAUAGGGGAGCCGAAGGGAAACCGAGUCUUAACUGGGCGUUAAGUUGCAGGGUAUAGACCCGAAACCCGGUGAUCUAGCCAUGGGCAGGUUGAAGGUUGGGUAACACUAACUGGAGGACCGAACCGACUAAUGUUGAAAAAUUAGCGGAUGACUUGUGGCUGGGGGUGAAAGGCCAAUCAAACCGGGAGAUAGCUGGUUCUCCCCGAAAGCUAUUUAGGUAGCGCCUCGUGAAUUCAUCUCCGGGGGUAGAGCACUGUUUCGGCAAGGGGGUCAUCCCGACUUACCAACCCGAUGCAAACUGCGAAUACCGGAGAAUGUUAUCACGGGAGACACACGGCGGGUGCUAACGUCCGUCGUGAAGAGGGAAACAACCCAGACCGCCAGCUAAGGUCCCAAAGUCAUGGUUAAGUGGGAAACGAUGUGGGAAGGCCCAGACAGCCAGGAUGUUGGCUUAGAAGCAGCCAUCAUUUAAAGAAAGCGUAAUAGCUCACUGGUCGAGUCGGCCUGCGCGGAAGAUGUAACGGGGCUAAACCAUGCACCGAAGCUGCGGCAGCGACACUAUGUGUUGUUGGGUAGGGGAGCGUUCUGUAAGCCUGUGAAGGUGUACUGUGAGGUAUGCUGGAGGUAUCAGAAGUGCGAAUGCUGACAUAAGUAACGAUAAAGCGGGUGAAAAGCCCGCUCGCCGGAAGACCAAGGGUUCCUGUCCAACGUUAAUCGGGGCAGGGUGAGUCGACCCCUAAGGCGAGGCCGAAAGGCGUAGUCGAUGGGAAACAGGUUAAUAUUCCUGUACUUGGUGUUACUGCGAAGGGGGGACGGAGAAGGCUAUGUUGGCCGGGCGACGGUUGUCCCGGUUUAAGCGUGUAGGCUGGUUUUCCAGGCAAAUCCGGAAAAUCAAGGCUGAGGCGUGAUGACGAGGCACUACGGUGCUGAAGCAACAAAUGCCCUGCUUCCAGGAAAAGCCUCUAAGCAUCAGGUAACAUCAAAUCGUACCCCAAACCGACACAGGUGGUCAGGUAGAGAAUACCAAGGCGCUUGAGAGAACUCGGGUGAAGGAACUAGGCAAAAUGGUGCCGUAACUUCGGGAGAAGGCACGCUGAUAUGUAGGUGAAGUCCCUCGCGGAUGGAGCUGAAAUCAGUCGAAGAUACCAGCUGGCUGCAACUGUUUAUUAAAAACACAGCACUGUGCAAACACGAAAGUGGACGUAUACGGUGUGACGCCUGCCCGGUGCCGGAAGGUUAAUUGAUGGGGUCAGCGCAAGCGAAGCUCUUGAUCGAAGCCCCGGUAAACGGCGGCCGUAACUAUAACGGUCCUAAGGUAGCGAAAUUCCUUGUCGGGUAAGUUCCGACCUGCACGAAUGGCGUAAUGAUGGCCAGGCUGUCUCCACCCGAGACUCAGUGAAAUUGAACUCGCUGUGAAGAUGCAGUGUACCCGCGGCAAGACGGAAAGACCCCGUGAACCUUUACUAUAGCUUGACACUGAACAUUGAGCCUUGAUGUGUAGGAUAGGUGGGAGGCUUUGAAGUGUGGACGCCAGUCUGCAUGGAGCCGACCUUGAAAUACCACCCUUUAAUGUUUGAUGUUCUAACGUUGACCCGUGAUCCGGGUUGCGGACAGUGUCUGGUGGGUAGUUUGACUGGGGCGGUCUCCUCCUAAAGAGUAACGGAGGAGCACGAAGGUUGGCUAAUCCUGGUCGGACAUCAGGAGGUUAGUGCAAUGGCAUAAGCCAGCUUGACUGCGAGCGUGACGGCGCGAGCAGGUGCGAAAGCAGGUCAUAGUGAUCCGGUGGUUCUGAAUGGAAGGGCCAUCGCUCAACGGAUAAAAGGUACUCCGGGGAUAACAGGCUGAUACCGCCCAAGAGUUCAUAUCGACGGCGGUGUUUGGCACCUCGAUGUCGGCUCAUCACAUCCUGGGGCUGAAGUAGGUCCCAAGGGUAUGGCUGUUCGCCAUUUAAAGUGGUACGCGAGCUGGGUUUAGAACGUCGUGAGACAGUUCGGUCCCUAUCUGCCGUGGGCGCUGGAGAACUGAGGGGGGCUGCUCCUAGUACGAGAGGACCGGAGUGGACGCAUCACUGGUGUUCGGGUUGUCAUGCCAAUGGCACUGCCCGGUAGCUAAAUGCGGAAGAGAUAAGUGCUGAAAGCAUCUAAGCACGAAACUUGCCCCGAGAUGAGUUCUCCCUGACUCCUUGAGAGUCCUGAAGGAACGUUGAAGACGACGACGUUGAUAGGCCGGGUGUGUAAGCGCAGCGAUGCGUUGAGCUAACCGGUACUAAUGAACCGUGAGGCUUAACCU
RNAcentral lists this ribosomal RNA (2902 nucleotides) under Escherichia coli. Its description in RNAcentral is "bacterial LSU rRNA". It matches the Rfam family "Bacterial large subunit ribosomal RNA". Lineage: Bacteria; Pseudomonadati; Pseudomonadota; Gammaproteobacteria; Enterobacterales; Enterobacteriaceae. The record is from RNAcentral.